AAACCAUGCAUUGGGUAUUUUCUGAUUAACUCUUUGAAUCGCUCACAUGUUUCUUAUAAUGUUUAAUCUUCAGAUUGUCAAAAGAACGUAAUAUCGUUCCUCAGUUU
Molecule: non-coding RNA, 107 nt
Organism: Gossypium hirsutum (cotton)
Lineage: Eukaryota; Viridiplantae; Streptophyta; Magnoliopsida; Malvales; Malvaceae
Source: Rfam